AGCGAACGCUGGCGGCAGGCCUAACACAUGCAAGUCGAACGGACCCUUCGGGGUUAGUGGCGGACGGGUGAGUAACACGUGGGAACGUGCCUUUAGGUUCGGAAUAGCUCCUGGAAACGGGUGGUAAUGCCGAAUGUGCCCUUCGGGGGAAAGGAUUUAUCGCCUUUAGAGCGGCCCGCGUCUGAUUAGCUUGUUGGUGA
This 200-nucleotide ribosomal RNA is filed under the name uncultured bacterium. RNAcentral describes it as "partial 16S ribosomal RNA". It matches the Rfam family "Bacterial small subunit ribosomal RNA", at positions 29 to 255 of the family's 1533-position model. The record is from RNAcentral.